CCUACGGGCGGCAGCAGUGGGGAAUAUUGGACAAUGGGGGCAACCCUGAUCCAGCCAUGCCGCGUGUGUGGAGAAGGCCCUCGGGUUGUAAAGCACUUUCAGUGAGGAAGAACGCCUGGUGGUUAAUACCCAUCAGGAAAGACAUCACUCACAGAAGAAGCACCGGCUAACUCCGUGCCAGCAGCCGCGGUAAUACGGAGGGUGCGAGCGUUAAUCGGAAUUACUGGGCGUAAAGCGCGCGUAGGUGGCUUGAUAAGCCGGUUGUGAAAGCCCCGGGCUCAACCUGGGAACGGCAUCCGGAACUGUCAAGCUAGAGUGCAGGAGAGGAAGGUAGAAUUCCCGGUGUAGCGGUGAAAUGCGUAGAGAUCGGGAGGAAUACCAGUGGCGAAGGCGGCCUUCUGGACUGACACUGACACUGAGGUGCGAAAGCGUGGGUAGCAAACAGGAUUAGAUACCCGUGUAGUC
This 465-nucleotide ribosomal RNA is filed under the name Vreelandella stevensii. RNAcentral describes it as "partial 16S ribosomal RNA". It matches the Rfam family "Bacterial small subunit ribosomal RNA", at positions 338 to 795 of the family's 1533-position model. Lineage: Bacteria; Pseudomonadati; Pseudomonadota; Gammaproteobacteria; Oceanospirillales; Halomonadaceae. The record is from RNAcentral.